Long non-coding RNA from Lolium rigidum, 467 nucleotides. RefSeq lists it as uncharacterized. The record is from RefSeq and is a predicted model, not a curated record. Lineage: Eukaryota; Viridiplantae; Streptophyta; Magnoliopsida; Poales; Poaceae. The transcript has 2 exons.
UAGAUCUUCCCGGCGGCAGUGCUCCGUCCACUGGCCUGCUUCUCAUCCUUUGCCUCCUGGACGAGGCUGCAUAGAAGCUGCAAAGCUCCCAGACCUGUUGCUUCUCCCCUUCGCCGUCUCAUCACGCAAGCAGUCCAUCUGAUUGCUGUUUCCCCAAGUCCUCCGCGUCCGUCCUCGAUGAUCAGAUACAUGCUGCAAGGAGACUCCAGAAUCCCCUUCCCUGUUGCACCCCCGCUUCCUGGCAGGUAUUUUGUGGGGCUCAUGUUCCAUUGUCGAGCAGCCACUUCUCGUUGCAUACUCAAAAGGGAUAUACAAAGUCUUUAUCAACUACAUCUCCUGAUCAUAUAAGUACUCUUGCCUUACAGCUGAUACAGACAGUCAGAGACAUUCAGAUAAGUUUUGCAGAAAGGAGGUUUUCACUAAGGACAGAGAUGAGCCUAGACAUCACAUAACAUCUUUUUUCUAAA